This is a long non-coding RNA of Penaeus monodon (black tiger shrimp), 1136 nucleotides long. RefSeq lists it as uncharacterized. The record is from RefSeq and is a predicted model, not a curated record. Lineage: Eukaryota; Metazoa; Arthropoda; Malacostraca; Decapoda; Penaeidae. The transcript is spliced from 2 exons.
GCACAGGACGGGGGAUGGACAUCUAUAUUGGCGGGGUACGUGACCGGAACGCUGCUCUGCACGGAGAUGUGGUCGUGGUGGAAAUUAAACCAUUGACCAGUGGAAGGUGCUUUAUGAUCAAUUAGACCAAUAUUUAGACGACCAUAUGGAUAAAAAAUUAUUGUAUAUAGUCCGCUGGAGUCCAAUAUAACUGCUUCAUUUGCUGACGCUGCUUCCUCCUAUAACCCCUUAUCUAACAACACUAAUAAACAACAAAUACUAAGAAGAAAGAGAAAACUAGAAAUGAUUCUGAUAGUGUAUAUGUUGUAGAAAGUUUAGGAAGUAUUAUUCAGUGUGACAGUGAUGUGGUUGUGGAAGAUGAGGAUUUAAGAUGAGAGAGAACAAGAAAGGAAUGCUGGUAAUAGAAGAAAAAAGGAAGAGGAAAGGAAAGCCAAGUAAAACACAGGAUGCCAGUCAUCCAAAUAAAGUCUGUACAGCUUCUCAAGGUGGCACUCAAGAGAAACCAGAUGAGGAGAGCUGUAAAGAUGACACCCAGGAAUUGUGAUUGUGCUGCAGACUGAACCAGUCAAGGUUGCUGAUGAGCUUGUCCUCCUGUCAUGCCCAACACUUGAGGAGGGUAAGCAGGUUCCUCAGGAAGAUGACUUUGAUAGUUUCAAGGAAGGAGUGAAGGGUGUUGUAGUACCCCCCUGACCAACUGAGUGAAUGUGAUUUCACAGACGAUGAGAGUGGAUGCAGUGAAAUCCUGGAUUACAGCCAGAUGAGGGAGGAUCAGAGCUUCAUGCAAGCACAAUGGGAAGCCUAUCAAGAAGGAAUUUCAUCAGAAGCAAAAGGAAGAAUCGCAAGAAUAUCACAAGAAAUCUGAGGCAGAAAAAGAAAAGGAUGCUGGUGUACUGGUGAAGAAAUGUUUUGAAACAUCAGAUAUAAAGCAAGAGAUAGCUCUUGGCUUUCCUGAAGGAUUUGUGAAAGAGGAGAAUAUAGAUAGUAAGAAUCUGGAUUGCAAGAUAGAAACGGUUAUAGGGAAGAAAGUGUCGAGUGCCAAUGAUGUAAAUACUGUAAAAAAGGAGGAAAAAUGUAUGACUACUUUUGAAAAGGAUGAAGCAAAAGAAAACACAGAAACCACUCAGGGUGCUUGUGGA